UGCAUUUUACAACCUCGUAAACUGUAUGAGCCCCUAUUUUUACGCUUAUACCUAAGAUAUCAAAUAAAAAUACAUGAAACAGAGAACAUUUUUAGAAAGUUUUAUCGUGAGGCCACGGCCAGUUUUUAAAAUAUCUUUAUUUCUGUUCCGGUCAUCACCAAAAUUACACUAAAGCCGGACUUGAAUAUACAACAAAUUUUGAAUCUCAUCAAGUACAAAAAUAUUUAACGUGUAACCAAAAUAUGCUCAUGAAAACGAAAUUAAUAGCUAAAUUUUCAAACUAGACCCUUCUCGAGCCGGUUUUCAUGAAGGAAGUUCACAUUUCGGCCUUUGAUUCUUGGCAAAAAUUUGACCGCAACACGUGCGAAGCAACUGGGUCUCAAAGACUCAGCUAAAACAUUGUGAGCCCCUAUUUUCCCGACGAUAUGUUUGAUACCUACAAACGCCGAAAACUUUUUUCUUUUCAUUUAGCUAUAUUUAAAAUUGAGGCCACGGGCUAUUUUUGAGAAAAUACAGUUCAAAGUCAAGCUAUUUUUACAUAUUUUCAAAAUUUGUCAAAUUUCGCGAACUUGUAUUUUGAACUUAGACAGCUGAAGUUACACUAAGAAACAUAGGAUGGAAAAUUUGAGGCAUAUAAAGUUAAUUUCAACUUACAUUUCAUUCUCAUAUUACGUCUUUCUUCGUUUAUUACGGUUUUAAACAAGCCACAGAUCGACGUAUACGGUAUUUACUCCCAUGUUCACGUCGCCAUAUUAACUUCUUCCAAUCACUCGAUUACAAAACAAAUCAUCCCAAAACAAAGAAUUCAUAGUCGACUUUUAAAAGAAUAACCGUU
RNAcentral lists this long non-coding RNA (835 nucleotides) under Paramuricea clavata. The record is from RNAcentral. Lineage: Eukaryota; Metazoa; Cnidaria; Anthozoa; Malacalcyonacea; Plexauridae.